RNAcentral lists this ribosomal RNA (449 nucleotides) under uncultured bacterium. RNAcentral describes it as "partial 16S ribosomal RNA". It matches the Rfam family "Bacterial small subunit ribosomal RNA", at positions 29 to 523 of the family's 1533-position model. The record is from RNAcentral.
AACGAACGCUGGCGGCAUGCCUAACGCAUGCAAGUCGAACGAAGGCUUCGGCCUUAGUGGCGCACGGGUGCGUAACGCGUGGGAAUCUGCCCCUCGGUUCGGAAUAACAGUUAGAAAUGACUGCUAAUACCGGAUGAUGACUUCGGUCCAAAGAUUUAUCGCCGAGGGAUGAGCCCGCGUAAGAUUAGGUAGUUGGUGGGGUAAAGGCCUACCAAGCCGACGAUCUUUAGCUGGUCUGAGAGGAUGAUCAGCCACACUGGGACUGAGACACGGCCCAGACUCCUUCGGGAGGCAGCAGUGGGGAAUAUUGGAUAAUGGGCGUAAGCCUGAUCCAGCAAUUCCGCGUGAGUGAUUAAGGCCUUAUGGUUGUAAAGCUCUUUGAUUGGAGACAAUAAUGAUGGUAUCCAAAGAACAAGCCCCGGCUAACUCUGUGCCAGCAGCCGCCGAAA